UGCAGUCGAGCGAAUCUGAGGGAGCUUGCUCCCAAAGAUUAGCGGCGGACGGGUGAGUAACACGUGGGCAACCUGCCUGUAAGACUGGGAUAACUUCGGGAAACCGGAGCUAAUACCGGAUAAUCCCUUUCCUCACAUGAGGAAAGGCUGAAAGACGGCGUCUAGCUGUCACUUACAGAUGGGCCCGCGGCGCAUUAGCUAGUUGGUGAGGUAACGGCUCACCAAGGCCACGAUGCGUAGCCGACCUGAGAGGGUGAUCGGCCACACUGGGACUGAGACACGGCCCAGACUCCUACGGGAGGCAGCAGUAGGGAAUCUUCCGCAAUGGACGAAAGUCUGACGGAGCAACGCCGCGUGAGUGAUGAAGGUUUUCGGAUCGUAAAACUCUGUUGUUAGGGAAGAACAAGUAUCGGAGUAACUGCCGGUACCUUGACGGUACCUAACCAGAAAGCCACGGCUAACUACGUGCCAGCAGCCGCGGUAAUACGUAGGUGGCAAGCGUUGUCCGGAAUUAUUGGGCGUAAAGCGCGCGCAGGUGGUUCCUUAAGUCUGAUGUGAAAGCCCACGGCUCAACCGUGGAGGGUCAUUGGAAACUGGGGAACUUGAGUGCAGAAGAGGAAAGUGGAAUUCCAAGUGUAGCGGUGAAAUGCGUAGAGAUUU
Molecule: ribosomal RNA, 660 nt
Filed under: Bacillus sp. JSM 082076
Lineage: Bacteria; Bacillati; Bacillota; Bacilli; Caryophanales; Bacillaceae
Description: bacterial SSU rRNA
Rfam family: Bacterial small subunit ribosomal RNA
Source: RNAcentral